CCUACGGGAGGCAGCAGUGGGGAAUAUUGGACAAUGGGCGAAAGCCUGAUCCAGCAAUGCCGCGUGAGUGAUGAAGGCCUUAGGGUUGUAAAGCUCUUUUACCAGGGAUGAUAAUGACAGUACCUGGAGAAUAAGCUCCGGCUAACUCCGUGCCAGCAGCCGCGGUAAUACGGAGGGAGCUAGCGUUGUUCGGAAUUACUGGGCGUAAAGCGUACGUAGGCGGUUAUUCAAGUCAGAGGUGAAAGCCCGGGGCUCAACCCCGGAACGGCCUUUGAAACUAGGUAACUAGAAUCUUGGAGAGGUCAGUGGAAUUCCGAGUGUAGAGGUGAAAUUCGUAGAUAUUCGGAAGAGCACCAGUGGCGAAGGCGACUGACUGGACAAGUAUUGACGCUGAGGUACGAAAGCGUGGGGAGCAAACAGGAUUAGAUACCCUGGUAGUCCACGCCGUAAACGAUGAUAACUAGCUGUCCGGGCACUUGGUGCCUGGGUGGCGCAGCUAACGCAUUAAGUUAUCCGCCUGGGGAGUACGGUCGCAAGAUUAAAACUCAAAGGAAUUGACGG
Molecule: ribosomal RNA, 561 nt
Filed under: uncultured bacterium
Lineage: Bacteria
Description: bacterial SSU rRNA
Rfam family: Bacterial small subunit ribosomal RNA
Source: RNAcentral